This is a non-coding RNA of Triticum aestivum (bread wheat), 125 nucleotides long. The record is from Rfam. Lineage: Eukaryota; Viridiplantae; Streptophyta; Magnoliopsida; Poales; Poaceae.
AUUCUACUCCCUCCGUCCGGAUAUACUUGUCACAGAAAUGCAUAAAAAUGGAUGUAUCUAGAAUUAAAAUACGUCUAGAUACAUCCAUUCCUCCGACAAGUAUUUUCGGACGGAGGGAGUAUUUU